RNAcentral lists this ribosomal RNA (588 nucleotides) under uncultured bacterium. RNAcentral describes it as "bacterial SSU rRNA". It matches the Rfam family "Bacterial small subunit ribosomal RNA", at positions 338 to 917 of the family's 1533-position model. The record is from RNAcentral.
CCUACGGGAGGCAGCAGUAGGGAAUCUUCCGCAAUGGACGAAAGUCUGACGGAGCAACGCCGCGUGAACGAUGAAGGCCUUCGGGUCGUAAAGUUCUGUUGUUAGGGAAGAACAAGUGCUAGUUGAAUAAGCUGGCACCUUGACGGUACCUAACCAGAAAGCCACGGCUAACUACGCGCCAGCAGCCGCGGUAAUACGUAGGUGGCAAGCGUUGUCCGGAAUUAUUGGGCGUAAAGCGCGCGCAGGCGGUUUCUUAAGUCUGAUGUGAAAGCCCCCGGCUCAACCGGGGAGGGUCAUUGGAAACUGGGAAACUUGAGUGCAGAAGAGGAAAGUGGAAUUCCAAGUGUAGCGGUGAAAUGCGUAGAGAUUUGGAGGAACACCAGUGGCGAAGGCGACUUUCUGGUCUGUAACUGACGCUGAGGCGCGAAAGCGUAGGGGAGCAAACAGGAUUAGAUACCCUGGUAGUCCACGCUGUAAACGAUGAGUGCUAAGUGUUAGAGGGUUUCCGCCUUUAGUGCUGAAGUUAACGCAUUAAGCACUCCGCCUGGGGAUACGGUCGCAAGACUGAAACUCAAAUGAAUUGACCGG